RNAcentral lists this ribosomal RNA (164 nucleotides) under uncultured bacterium. RNAcentral's name for it is "partial 16S rRNA". It matches the Rfam family "Bacterial small subunit ribosomal RNA", at positions 355 to 511 of the family's 1533-position model. The record is from RNAcentral.
UAGGGAAUCUUCCACAAUGGGCGAAAGCCUGAUGGAGCAACGCCGCGUGUGUGAUGAAGGGUUUCGGCUCGUAAAACACUGUUGUAAGAGAAGAAUGACAUUGAGAGUAACUGUUCAAUGUGUGACGGUAUCUUACCAGAAAGGAACGGCUAACUACGUGCUAG